UACAGAGGGUGCAAGCGUUGUUCGGAAUCACUGGGCAUAAAGCGUACGUAGGCGGCGUCGUAAGUGUCGGAUGAAAUCCCACGGCUUACCCGUGGAACGGUCCGGCAUACUGCGGUGCUAGAGGAUGGUAGAGGAGAGCGGAACUCUUGGUGGAGCGGUGAAAUGCGUAGAUAUCAAGAGGAACACCGGUGGCGAAGGCGGCUCUCUGGUCCAUGUCUGACGCUGAGGCACGAAAGCGUGGGGAGCAAACAGG
This 253-nucleotide ribosomal RNA is filed under the name uncultured bacterium. Its description in RNAcentral is "partial 16S ribosomal RNA". It matches the Rfam family "Bacterial small subunit ribosomal RNA", at positions 524 to 776 of the family's 1533-position model. The record is from RNAcentral.